AAAAACAUAUUACUUUCAAAUUAAGUUGGUAUCUGGGUAUCCUUAUUGUUUGAUCCUGGCUCAGAUUGAACGCUGGCGGCAGGCCUAACACAUGCAAGUCGAGCGGUAGCACAGAGAGCUUGCUCUCGGGUGACGAGCGGCGGACGGGUGAGUAAUGUCUGGGAAACUGCCUGAUGGAGGGGGAUAACUACUGGAAACGGUAGCUAAUACCGCAUAACGUCGCAAGACCAAAGUGGGGGACCUUCGGGCCUCAUGCCAUCAGAUGUGCCCAGAUGGGAUUAGCUAGUAGGUGGGGUAACGGCUCACCUAGGCGACGAUCCCUAGCUGGUCUGAGAGGAUGACCAGCCACACUGGAACUGAGACACGGUCCAGACUCCUACGGGAGGCAGCAGUGGGGAAUAUUGCACAAUGGGCGCAAGCCUGAUGCAGCCAUGCCGCGUGUAUGAAGAAGGCCUUCGGGUUGUAAAGUACUUUCAGCGGGGAGGAAGGCGAUAAGGUUAAUAACCUUGUCGAUUGACGUUACCCGCAGAAGAAGCACCGGCUAACUCCGUGCCAGCAGCCGCGGUAAUACGGAGGGUGCAAGCGUUAAUCGGAAUUACUGGGCGUAAAGCGCACGCAGGCGGUCUGUCAAGUCGGAUGUGAAAUCCCCGGGCUCAACCUGGGAACUGCAUUCGAAACUGGCAGGCUAGAGUCUUGUAGAGGGGGGUAGAAUUCCAGGUGUAGCGGUGAAAUGCGUAGAGAUCUGGAGGAAUACCGGUGGCGAAGGCGGCCCCCUGGACAAAGACUGACGCUCAGGUGCGAAAGCGUGGGGAGCAAACAGGAUUAGAUACCCUGGUAGUCCACGCCGUAAACGAUGUCGAUUUGGAGGUUGUGCCCUUGAGGCGUGGCUUCCGGAGCUAACGCGUAAAUCGACCGCCUGGAUAGCAAUUUU
RNAcentral lists this ribosomal RNA (931 nucleotides) under Klebsiella sp. RNAcentral describes it as "bacterial SSU rRNA". It matches the Rfam family "Bacterial small subunit ribosomal RNA", at positions 1 to 887 of the family's 1533-position model. Lineage: Bacteria; Pseudomonadati; Pseudomonadota; Gammaproteobacteria; Enterobacterales; Enterobacteriaceae. The record is from RNAcentral.